CAGUCGCCACGGGAAUACGAAGGGGGCUAGCGUUGCUCGGAAUUACUGGGCGUAAAGGGAGCGUAGGCGGACAUUUAAGUCAGGGGUGAAAUCCCGGGGCUCAACCUCGGAAUUGCCUUUGAUACUGGGUGUCUUGAGUAUGAGAGAGGUAUGUGGAACUCCGAGUGUAGAGGUGAAAUUCGUAGAUAUUCGGAAGAACACCAGUGGCGAAGGCGACAUACUGGCUCAUUACUGACGCUGAGGCUCGAAAGCGUGGGGAGCAAACAGGAUUAGAUACCCGUGUAGUCCCUGUCUCUUAUAC
This 301-nucleotide ribosomal RNA is filed under the name uncultured bacterium. RNAcentral's name for it is "partial 16S ribosomal RNA". It matches the Rfam family "Bacterial small subunit ribosomal RNA", at positions 509 to 807 of the family's 1533-position model. The record is from RNAcentral.